RNAcentral lists this ribosomal RNA (1014 nucleotides) under uncultured bacterium. RNAcentral's name for it is "bacterial SSU rRNA". It matches the Rfam family "Bacterial small subunit ribosomal RNA", at positions 11 to 1026 of the family's 1533-position model. The record is from RNAcentral.
GUUUGAUCCUGGCUCAGGAUGAACGCUAGCGGCAGGCUUAACACAUGCAAGUCGAGGGGCAGCAUGUCCAGCAAUGGAUGAUGGCGACCGGCGGAAGGGUGCGUAACGCGUGAGCAACAUGCCCUAUACAGGGAGAUACACCAGGGAAACUUGGUCUAAUAUCCCAUAGCAUUCAUUGAAGGCAUCUUUAAUGAAUUAAAGCUUCGGUGGUAUAGGAUUGGCUCGCGUGACAUUAGCCAGAUGGUGAGGUAACGGCUCACCAUAGCAAUGAUGUCUAGGGGUUUUGAGAGGAAGGCCCCCCACACUGGGACUGAGACACGGCCCAGACUCCUACGGGAGGCAGCAGUGAGGAAUAUUGGACAAUGGAUGGAAAUCUGAUCCAGCCAUGCCGCGUGCAGGAAGACGGCCUUAUGGGUUGUAAACUGCUUUUAUACGGGAGCAAUAAGGGUUACGAGUAAUCCGAUGAGAGUACUGUAUGAAUAAGGAUCGGCUAACUCCGUGCCAGCAGCCGCGGUAAUACGGAGGAUCCGAGCGUUAUCCGGAAUUAUUGGGUUUAAAGGGUGCGUAGGCGGCCAUUUAAGUCAGCGGUGAAAUUUUGCAGCUUAACUGUAACAGUGCCGUUGAUACUGUUUGGCUAGGAUUUGGUUGUAGUGUGCGGAAUGUGUGGUGUAGCGGUGAAAUGCUUAGAUAUCACACAGAACACCGAUUGCGAAGGCAGCACACUAAGUCAUUAUUGACGCUGAGGCACGAAAGUGUGGGGAUCAAACAGGAUUAGAUACCCUGGUAGUCCACACUGUAAACGAUGAUAACUCGCUGUCGGCGAUACACAGUCGGUGGCCAAGCGAAAGCAUUAAGUUAUCCACCUGGGGAGUACGACCGCAAGGUUGAACUCAAAAGAAUUGACGGGGGCCGCACAAGCGAAGAAACUGUGGUUUAUUUGAUGAUACGCCAGGAACCUUACCCGGGUCGAAACGGGAAUGAAUAUACAAAAAAUUUUUAAGUCCUCCGGAAAUG